AACCUCCGCAAUGUGAGAAAUCGCGACGGGGGGAUCCCAAGUGCCAUUCUUAACGGGAUGGCUUUUCAUUAGUGUAAAGAGCUUUUGGAAUAAGAGCUGGGCAAGACCGGUGCCAGCCGCCGCGGUAACACCGGCAGCUCUAGUGGUAACAAUUUUUAUUGGGCCUAAAGCGUCCGUAGCCGGUUUAAUAAGUCUCUGGUGAAAUCCUGUAGCUUAACUGUGGGAAUUGCUGGAGAUACUAUUAGACUUGAGACCGGGAGAGGUUAGAGGUACUCCCAGGGUAGAGGUGAAAUUCUGUAAUCCUGGGAGGACCGCCUGUUGCGAAGGCGUCUAACUGGAACGGUUCUGACGGUGAGGGACGAAAGUUAGGGGCGCGAACCGGAUUAGAUACCCGGGUAGUCCUAACUGUAAACGAUGCGGACUUGGUGUUGGGGUGGCUUUGAGCUGCUUCAGUGCCGAAGGGAAGCUGUUAAGUCCGCCGCCUGGGAAGUACGGUCGCAAGACUGAAACUUAAAGGAAGU
This 521-nucleotide ribosomal RNA is filed under the name uncultured bacterium. Its description in RNAcentral is "bacterial SSU rRNA". It matches the Rfam family "Archaeal small subunit ribosomal RNA", at positions 345 to 866 of the family's 1478-position model. The record is from RNAcentral.